CCAUACUCUCAUGUCGUGUACAUAAUUUGUAAUCAAUAUCAUCUGAGUAUUCUUCUUAUAGCCAUACCAAAAAGACACAACAGCUUAAAGACUCUUUAACUACUGACGCUCACCUUUUCCGUACAGGUAGGAUGACGAACAUCGUCACUUUUGGAGCACAAAUGCUUUUAUGUAUAUAUAACCAAACUGCUGAAACUUUCACAGUGUUGUAUAUAUUGAACUGAUCUCCAGAUGUUGAAUCCUGCUAAUGAUGUAAUAUAUAAGUUUGUACAAACCUAUGAACAUGUCGGUUGACUAUGCAACUACCGUAAUCGCUAUAAUUAUCACCUCUAGACAAUGUGCAACUCUUUCAAACAUUGAUCUGGUUUCCUUUGUUUUUGCCCUUAUAUCCUAAUUUACUCUCUGUCAAUCAUACAAUUAUCAUACAUUAUACGUUCUCCUUGGAUUUGAAGGUUCAUUAAUGGAGUGUUUGGUUUGAGGAAUGAUAUAGUCCAUUAUCUUCUCACUCCUCACUUUUUUGUUUGGUUUGUGGUAUGGAGUGAGUUAGUCCAUCACCACCUCAUUCCUCAUAGUUAGUUUUUAGUACUAAUAUGUGGAAUGGAGUCAUCCCACCAAAUUUGAGGAAUGGACCUAUGAUGCACCACUUUAUUUUGGAUAUAGUGAUUCAUCAAACCAAACACCUCAUAAGUAUAUCCUUGAGCCAAAAUAGAAAAAAAAUCAUAGAAGAGCUCUUUGGUAAAUACCUUCGCUUUUGGUAUCCAGAGAAAACCCUCCGAGUAGUGUGCAACUGUGCAUUAAUGUGAAGCUUGAUGACUUGGACUGAC
RNAcentral lists this long non-coding RNA (824 nucleotides) under Zea mays. RNAcentral describes it as "long non-coding RNA (ZMAY_LNC002646)". The record is from RNAcentral. Lineage: Eukaryota; Viridiplantae; Streptophyta; Magnoliopsida; Poales; Poaceae.